AGUGAACGCUGGCGGUAGGCCUAACACAUGCAAGUCGAACGGCAGCACAGUAAGAGCUUGCUCUUACGGGUGGCGAGUGGCGGACGGGUGAGGAAUACAUCGGAAUCUACUUUUUCGUGGGGGAUAACGUAGGGAAACUUACGCUAAUACCGCAUACGACCUACGGGUGAAAGCAGGGGAUCUUCGGACCUUGCGCGAUUGAAUGAGCCGAUGUCGGAUUAGCUAGUUGGCGGGGUAAAGGCCCACCAAGGCGACGAUCCGUAGCUGGUCUGAGAGGAUGAUCAGCCACACUGGAACUGAGACACGGUCCAGACUCAUACGGGAGGCAGCAGUGGGGAAUAUUGGACAAUGGGAGCAAGCCUGAUCCAGACAUACCGCGUGGGUGAAGAAGGCCUUCGGGUUGGAAAGCCCUUUUGUUGGGAAAGAAAAGCAGAAGGUUAAUACCCCGCUGUUCUGACGGUACCCAAAGAAUAAGCACCGGCUAACUUCGUG
RNAcentral lists this ribosomal RNA (492 nucleotides) under uncultured bacterium. RNAcentral's name for it is "partial 16S ribosomal RNA". It matches the Rfam family "Bacterial small subunit ribosomal RNA", at positions 29 to 507 of the family's 1533-position model. The record is from RNAcentral.